This 420-nucleotide long non-coding RNA is filed under the name Physcomitrium patens. RNAcentral's name for it is "long non-coding RNA (PPAT_LNC012102)". Lineage: Eukaryota; Viridiplantae; Streptophyta; Bryopsida; Funariales; Funariaceae. The record is from RNAcentral.
CCCCCGCUAAGGUGUCGUCCAACACCGUGGUGCGCAUGGCUCCCGUCGUUCGGGCUUCGGCCAGCAGUGAUGCCUUGGAGACCGUUGGAAAGGCUCUCAUUGCCGCAUCCAGCUCAUUGUUGUUGGCUGCUUCCGCCAAUGCCGUUACCGUGAAGAUGGGUGCUGACGAUGGUACCCUAGGUUUCUACCCUAACGCGAUCUCCGUUGCCGCUGGUGAGUCCAUUACCUUUGUGAACAACAAGGGUUUCCCCCAUAAUGUGGUGUUCGAUGAGGAUGCUGUACCUGCGGGCGUCAAGGUCGAGGAAAUUAACCACGAGGAAUACGCUAACGCGCUAAACGAGAGCUUCUCCAUCAACCUCAAGACCCCAGGAACAUACGAGUUCUACUGCGAGCCCCACCAGGGUGCUGGCAUGAAGGGAC